UAGUGGCUUCUCCUUCUUUAGUGACUACAGGGUGCACCCAUCCUGUCAAGACAGCUUUCCAAGCCUUGUUAUCAAGGGAUUUUAAAAACGCUACCAUUCUAGGUUUCCAAUAGUCAUAGUUAGAACCAUCCAGGAUUGGUGGCCUAUGAACAGAUCCUCCAUCUCUUUCCAUUGUACCAGAAAGUAUUGCCCCUAGAUCUCAC
RNAcentral lists this long non-coding RNA (203 nucleotides) under Lathyrus oleraceus (garden pea). Its description in RNAcentral is "Pisum sativum (pea) long non-coding RNA (PSAT_LNC026072)". The record is from RNAcentral. Lineage: Eukaryota; Viridiplantae; Streptophyta; Magnoliopsida; Fabales; Fabaceae.